Molecule: small nuclear RNA, 105 nt
Organism: Schistocerca cancellata (South American locust)
Lineage: Eukaryota; Metazoa; Arthropoda; Insecta; Orthoptera; Acrididae
Source: RefSeq, a predicted model, not a curated record
GCUCCGGCGGAACAUAUACCAAAAUUGGGAGAGAGAGUACAGAGAACAUCGGCAGGGCCCCUGCGCAAGGAUGACACGCAAAAUCGAGCAGAAUUAAAAACAAAA